CAAUCGAACCCGGAGAUAGCUGGUUCUCCUCGAAAUAGCUUUAGGGCUAGCCUCGCAUUAGUUUACCGGAGGUAGAGCACUGAAUGGUCUAGGGGGCCUCACCGCCUACCGAAACCUAUCAAACUGCGAAUGCCGGAUAAAUGAUGUGCGGGAGUCAGGCCGCGAGAGAUAAGUUCCGCGGUCAAAAGGGGAACACCCCAGAUCGUCUGCUAAGGUCCCCAAGUACGCGUUAAGUGGGAAAGGAUGUUGGAUUGCACAGACAACCAGGAUGUUGGCUUAGAAGCAGCCACACAUUCAAAGAGUGCGUAAUAGCUCACUGGUCGAGUGAUCCAGCGCCGAAAAUGUAACGGGGCUAAAACGCGACACCGAAGCAGCGGGAUGCGUAAGCAUCGGUAGAGGAGCAUUGUGUGAGGGUUGAAGCCAGAGCGGGAGCACUGGUGGACUUCACAGAAGAGAGAAUGCCGGUAUGAGUAGCGAGACCCAUGCGAGAAACAUGGGCGUCGAAGGCCCAAGGUUUCCUGGGGAAGGUUCAUCCACCCAGGGUAAGUCGGGACCUAAGCCGAGGACUGAGGUCGUAGGCGAUGGACAGCAGGUAGAGAUUCCUGCACCACUUACACUUGUUUGACGAAGCAGUGACACAGAAGGAUAGGACGAGCGCGGUGAUGGUCAACCGCGUAGGCGGCACGAGGCCGGGAAGCAGUGAAGUACACUUCCCGCAAAGGCUGAGUGCUGACAGGACCGAAAAGAAGUAGGGAAGCGUCCGAGUUCACGCUGGCGAGAAAAGCUGCUAAGGAGAGUGUGAGUGCCCGUACCGGAAACCGACGCAGGUGGGCGAGGAGAGAAUCCUGAGACGGACGGGAGAACUCUUGUUAAGGAACUCGGCAAAAUGACCCCGUAACUUCGGGAGAAGGGGUGCCUCGAAAGAGGCCGCAGAGAAUAGUCACAAGCGACUGUUUAGCAAAAACACAGGUAUCUGCGAAAGCGAGAGCUGACGUAUAGGUGCUGACGCCUGCCCGGUGCUGGAAGGUUAAGGGGAAGUGUUAGGGGAAACCCGAAGCAGAGAACCGAAGCCCCAGUAAACGGCGGCCGUAACUAUAACGGUCCUAAGGUAGCGAAAUUCCUUGUCGGGUAAGUUCCGACCCGCACGAAUGGCGUAACGACUUGUGAGCUGUCUCAACAGGAGGCCCGGUGAAAUUGAAGUAUGUGUGAAGAUGCACAUUACCCGCGACUGGACGGAAAGACCCCGUAGAGCUUUACUGUAACCUGACAUUGGAUCUUGAUAACGGAUGCACAGGAUAGGUGGGACGCUGGGAGACGAGGACUUUGGUUUUCGUGGAGCGGCCGUUGGGAUACCACUCUUCUGUUAUUGAGAUUCUAACCUCAAGCCGUGAGCCGGAUGAGAGACAGUGUCAGGCGGACAGUUUGACUGGGGCGGUCGCCUCCGAAAGAGUAACGGAGGCGCCCAAAGGUACCCUCAGAAUGGAUGGAAACCAUUCGAAGAGAGCAAAGUCAGAAGGGUGCUUGACUGCGAGACCAACAAGUCGAGCAGGUACGAAAGUAGGGCUUAGUGAUCCGGCGGUAAGAGAGUGGAAUUGCCGUCGCUCAACGGAUAAAAGCUACCUCGGGGAUAACAGGCUGAUCUCCCCCAAGAGUUCACAUCGACGGGGAGGUUUGGCACCUCGAUGUCGGCUCAUCGCAUCCUGGAGCUGAAGUCGGUUCCAAGGGUUGGGCUGUUCGCCCAUUAAAGCGGUACGCGAGCUGGGUUCAGAACGUCGCGAGACAGUUCGGUCCCUAUCUAUCACGGGCGUAGGAAAUUUGAGGAGAGCUGACCUUAGUACGAGAGGACCGGGUUGGACGUACCGCUGGUGCACCUGUUGUUCUGCCAAGGGCAUAGCAGGGUAGCUAAGUACGGACGGGAUAAACGCUGAAGGCAUCUAAGCGUGAAGCCCCCUUCGAGAUAAGAUUUCCCAUAGCGUAGGCUAGUAAGGACCCAUGAAGACUACAUGGUUGAUAGGCCGGAGGUGGAAGUGCAGUAAUGUAUGCAGCUGACCGGUACUAAUAGUCCGAGGGCUUGACCAA
RNAcentral lists this ribosomal RNA (2079 nucleotides) under human gut metagenome. Its description in RNAcentral is "bacterial LSU rRNA". It matches the Rfam family "Bacterial large subunit ribosomal RNA", at positions 830 to 2925 of the family's 2925-position model. The record is from RNAcentral.